This 492-nucleotide ribosomal RNA is filed under the name uncultured bacterium. RNAcentral's name for it is "partial 16S ribosomal RNA". It matches the Rfam family "Bacterial small subunit ribosomal RNA", at positions 29 to 507 of the family's 1533-position model. The record is from RNAcentral.
AGUGAACGCUGGCGGUAGGCCUAACACAUGCAAGUCGAACGGCAGCACAGUAAGAGCUUGCUCUUACGGGUGGCGAGUGGCGGACGGGCGAGGAAUACAUCGGAAUCUACUUUUUCGUGGGGGAUAACGUAGGGAAACUUACGCUAAUACCGCAUACGACCUACGGGUGAAAGCAGGGGAUCUUCGGACCUUGCGCGAUUGAAUGAGCCAAUGUCGGAUUAGCUAGUUGGCGGGGUAAAGGCCCACCAAGGCGACGAUCCGUAGCUGGUCUGAGAGGAUGAUCAGCCACACUGGAACUGAGACACGGUCCAGACUCCUACGGGAGGCAGCAGUGGGGAAUAUUGGACAAUGGGCGCAAGCCUGAUCCAGCCAUACCGCGUGGGUGAAGAAGGCCUUCGGGUUGUAAAGCCCUUUUGUUGGGAAAGAAAAGCAGCAGGUUAAUACCCCGCUGUUCUGACGGUACCCAAAGAAUAAGCACCGGCUAACUUCGUG